AGUGAACGCUGGCGGCAGGCCUAACACAUGCAAGUCGAACGGCAGCACGGCAGUAGCAAUACUGUGGGUGGCGAGUGGUGGACGGGUGAGGAAUACAUCGGGAUCUACCCUGUUGUGGGGGGAUAACGUAGGGAAACUUACGCUAAUACCGCAUAAGAACUGAGGUUGAAAGCGGCGGACCGCAAGGCGUCGCGCGAUUGGAUGAACCGAUGUCCGAUUAGCUAGUUGGCGGGGUAAAGGCCCACCAAGGCGACGAUCGGUAGCUGGUCUGAGAGGACGACCAGCCACACUGGAACUGAGACACGGUCCAGACUCCUACGGGAGGCAGCAGUGGGGGAAUAUUGGGAACAAUGGGCGCAAGCCUGAUCCAGCCAUGCCGCGUGGGUGAAGAAGGCC
Molecule: ribosomal RNA, 396 nt
Filed under: uncultured bacterium
Lineage: Bacteria
Description: bacterial SSU rRNA
Rfam family: Bacterial small subunit ribosomal RNA
Source: RNAcentral